GACGAACGCUGGCGGUGUGCUUAACACAUGCAAGUCGAACGGUAAGGCCCUUUCGGGGGUACACGAGUGGCGAACGGGUGAGUAACACGUGAGUAACCUGCCCUCAUCUCUGGGAUAACAGUCGGAAACGGUUGCUAAUACUGGAUAUGAGCUUGCAAGGCAUCUUGUGGGUUGGAAAGAUUUUUUUGGCUGGGGAUGGACUCGCGGCCUAUCAGCUUGUUGGUGAGGUAGUGGCUCACCAAGGCUUCGACGGGUAGCCGGCCUGAGAGGGCGACCGGCCACAUUGGGACUGAAAUACGGCCCAAACUCCUACGGGAGGCAGCAGUGAGGAAUAUUGCACAAUGGACGGAAGUCUGAUGCAGCAACGCCGCGUGCGGGAUGACGGCCUUCGGGUUGUAAACCGCUUUCAAUUGUGACGAAGCUUUUUGUGACGGUAGCAGUAGAAGAAGCACCGGCUAACUACGUG
This 466-nucleotide ribosomal RNA is filed under the name uncultured bacterium. RNAcentral describes it as "partial 16S ribosomal RNA". It matches the Rfam family "Bacterial small subunit ribosomal RNA", at positions 28 to 507 of the family's 1533-position model. The record is from RNAcentral.